RNAcentral lists this ribosomal RNA (426 nucleotides) under Bradyrhizobium japonicum. Its description in RNAcentral is "bacterial SSU rRNA". It matches the Rfam family "Bacterial small subunit ribosomal RNA", at positions 44 to 514 of the family's 1533-position model. Lineage: Bacteria; Pseudomonadati; Pseudomonadota; Alphaproteobacteria; Hyphomicrobiales; Nitrobacteraceae. The record is from RNAcentral.
AGGCUUAACACAUGCAAGUCGAGCGGGCGUAGCAAUACGUCAGCGGCAGACGGGUGAGUAACGCGUGGGAACGUACCUUUUGGUUCGGAACAACACAGGGAAACUUGUGCUAAUACCGGAUAAGCCCUUACGGGGAAAGAUUUAUCGCCGAAAGAUCGGCCCGCGUCUGAUUAGCUAGUUGGUGAGGUAAUGGCUCACCAAGGCGACGAUCAGUAGCUGGUCUGAGAGGAUGAUCAGCCACAUUGGGACUGAGACACGGCCCAAACUCCUACGGGAGGCAGCAGUGGGGAAUAUUGGACAAUGGGGGCAACCCUGAUCCAGCCAUGCCGCGUGAGUGAUGAAGGCCCUAGGGUUGUAAAGCUCUUUUGUGCGGGAAGAUAAUGACGGUACCGCAAGAAUAAGCCCCGGCUAACUUCGUGCCAGCAG